AAUGGCAUUGUGAUUUAUUUCCCAGGAGCCUCAGAGCUCAUGGAGGGGAAAGAGAGGCUUCAAGGCUCAUCUGCUUGGCUGGAGAUACCAGUGGAUUCUGAAGAAAAGAAUCCCAUUUCUAUCCAAUCAGCAAACAUACUCUUCAGAGGAGCCCCUUCAUAUACCCUGUGCUAUGUUCAGAGUCUAGGGAAAGAUGGAUAGGAAAUCUGAACAGUUUGAAAUGUGGGAACAGCAGACAAAUGCAUUCAUUCUUUCAUUUACUCAUGCUUAUUCCUAUAUUAUCCCUUCAAUCAUGCAUUGUAUUUCCAUAUUUAUGCAUGCAUUGAACAAACAUUUCUGAAGUGCCAGGUGCCCUGCUAGACCCUCAGUCUGCGGAGAUGAAUGCACACACCUGAGUAGAUGCUGCUCUUGAGCAUCUUACAAGUUGGAUAGGGAGGUCUGAUUGGGAUUAUCAACUGGGUAGCAUUUGCACUGGGCUUUGGGGGACAUGUAAGAGUCCACCAGCUAGACUAAGUCAGGAAGAGCACAGAAAGUCAAAGGAAUACAAACAAAAGCAAGUAUUCUUUUGGUCUCAGCAUUGCAGUACUAGUAGAUACAGAAUUUGUUAGUAGAGGUAAGACCUUUAUGCUGAACCAGGGAGCAUGAUGCAUAUAAGAGUCCUGAUGAGUUAGAAAAAAGCUUUAUUCUGAAUCAGGAUUUUAGGAAAACAACUCAAGUGGCAUGUCUGGGAGAUGGUAGGUUGUGGGGAGGACUGUGCUGGAGGGUGGAGGGCUGAGAGUGCCUAGCAGCAAUGCAGGUAAGACACUGGCAGCAGCUGAGAUGGAGAAAACUCAGGCAUGAGGAAACUUCAGGAGGCAAACCUCAAGUUACCCAGCUCAGUGAGAGGAACCAUCAUAGACUUUGUUUUCUAAGCCAGCAGCCUGAGAUUUCCCCUUGUGGCCAAUACAACACCCACUUUUAUAAUCUUGCUUAGCUUUGUUGCCUUUGAGAUUCUGCUUACACGUUGGUUUUUGUCUGCUUGCUUGUCUUCUAAAGGGUUCUUCAAUAAAUCCCCAUGUCAGACUCGACUUCUAGAGAAGCCAACCCAAGUUAGCUGUAUGAGAAGCAGUCCCAGGAGACAGAGAUUCAACCCAAGUUAGUUGUAUGAGAAGCAGUCCCAGGAGACAGAGAUUAGGAUGGGCUCUGGAGUUGGGUCACCCAUCACUAAACUGGAAAUAAGGAUAUAUCACUUUGGGGAGGAGGAGGAAUAUAGUCCCUGGUGUGCUGUUGCAGCACGAACACCAAGAUGCUCACCUAUGGUGAAAUAGGAUGGAAUGCAGGUGGAAGGUUAUACACUGGCUGGGAGAAAUAGUCAUGGACUGUGAGCAUGUGGCUGUUGUUGGGAGCAAUUGAUGUAUUGAAGAGAAAAUGACAGGCUCCCUGGUCAGCUAAUCACUAACAUAAGGCAAAGCAUGAAAGCCAGAGGGCAUUGUUGGUAGCAUCUGAAAACACACUCAUCCCUUGCAGCUGGAGAACAGACUCAGCUGACAGGCAGACAUAGAAGUUAAUUGUAAGCAUGGCAGGACUUCAGAGAAGCCUGAAUAAUCAAGUUGGACAUUUCUGCUAUAACAACUUUGGGGUCACAAAAGGAGGAGGGCUUGAGAUUGGGAUGGGGACAUCUGUGCAGAUGCACUUACAAACCUUGAGUCCUUAGACUCCCCUGAACAAUCUGCACCUGAAGAAACAGCUCAACCAUGUAAGAAACUACAUAACAGAAAGUAACCUAUAGGAUACGCUUGCCCUCAAAAUUGACCCCUCCACUGCCCCGGCCACCAGAUGCAUAUCUAGGGUAAGACCUACAGCAUGACCCACCGGGGCUAAAAAAUGGAAAGGAUUUGGCUUUAAAGGAGCUGCAGGAUGUGGCUACUCUUUGUCAGCAGGAACUAUAAAGGCACACUCGGGAAUGCUGGAUAGAGGGACUUGAGGCAUUGUUUUGAUAUCUGCCUGAACGUUCCUUGGAAACUUGGAAAAACUGGCUUGUAGGAAAUGAAUUCCAGUUGCAGAAGCUGCUGCGGCUGACUGUGGCAAGGAGGAAUAUGCAAGUAGGGAACAGCACCACUUGAAACCUGGGUGGCACUGUCAUAUAUAGACCAGGUGACCAUAGGAGACGCUGUUAUAGAACCAGGUUCCCCAUGGCAAAAGACGUGAAAGAAUCGCAGGGCAGCAGAGGCUGAGGGGAAAGCACCCAGGCUUUAGACCACAGCUGGACACAAUUUGCCAUAAAGGGUAGUGAGAUUUGGAGGAGUCACAGGUUACCUGACCUUCACGGAUCUACGGAGAUGGAAAUGAGGAUGAACAAUCCUGAGGAUAAGACAGAUGGGCCUCCAGCCUGGCUAAGUUUUGUAUUUUUAGUAGACAGGGUUUUGCCACGUUGGUCAGGCUGGUCUCGAACUCCUGACCUCAGGUGAUACACCAGCCUCAGCCUCCCAGAGUGCUAGGA
This 2479-nucleotide long non-coding RNA is filed under the name Homo sapiens (human). Its description in RNAcentral is "HSALNT0144781". The record is from RNAcentral. Lineage: Eukaryota; Metazoa; Chordata; Mammalia; Primates; Hominidae.